UUAAAGGUUGGAACUGGCUCAGGACGAACGCUGGCGGCGUGCCUAAUACAUGCAAGUCGAGCGGACAGAAGGGAGCUUGCUCCCGGAUGUUAGCGGCGGACGGGUGAGUAACACGUGGGUAACCUGCCUGUAAGACUGGGAUAACUCCGGGAAACCGGCUAAUACCGGAUAGUUCCUUGAACCGCAUGGUUCAAGGAUGAAAGACGGUUUCGGCUGUCACUUACAGAUGGACCCGCGGCGCAUUAGCUAGUUGGUGAGGUAACGGCUCACCAAGGCGACGAUGCGUAGCCGACCUGAGAGGUGAUCGGCCACACUGGGACUGAGACACGGCCCAGACUCCUACGGGCAGCAGUAGAAUCUUCCGCAAUGGACGAAAGUCUGACGGAGCAACGCCGCGUGAGUGAUGAAGGUUUUCGGAUCGUAAAGCUCUGUUGUUAGGGAAGAACAAGUGCAAGAGUAACUGCUUGCACCUUGACGGUACCUAACCAGAAAGCCACGGCUAACUACGUGCCAGCAGCCGCGGUAAUACGUAGGUGGCAAGCGUUGUCCGGAAUUAUUGGGCGUAAAGGGCUCGCAGGCGGUUUCUUAAGUCUGAUGUGAAAGCCCCCGGCUCAACCGGGGAGGGUCAUUGGAAACUGGGAAACUUGAGUGCAGAAGAGGAGAGUGGAAUUCCACGUGUAGCGGUGAAAUGCGUAGAGAUGUGGAGGAACACCAGUGGCGAAGGCGACUCUCUGGUCUGUAACUGACGCUGAGGAGCGAAAGCGUGGGGAGCGAACAGGAUUAGAUACCCUGGUAGUCCACGCCGUAAACGAUGAGUGCUAAGUGUUAGGGGGUUUCCGCCCCUUAGUGCUGCAGCUAACGCAUUAAGCACUCCGCCUGGGGAGUACGGUCGCAAGACUGAAACUCAAAGGAAUUGACGGGGGCCCGCACAAGCGGUGGAGCAUGUGGUUUAAUUCGAAGCAACGCGAAGAACCUUACCAGGUCUUGACAUCCUCUGACAACCCUAGAGAUAGGGCUUUCCCUUCGGGGACAGAGUGACAGGUGGUGCAUGGUUGUCGUCAGCUCGUGUCGUGAGAUGUUGGGUUAAGUCCCGCAACGAGCGCAACCCUUGAUCUUAGUUGCCAGCAUUCAGUUGGGCACUCUAAGGUGACUGCCGGUGACAAACCGGAGGAAGGUGGGGAUGACGUCAAAUCAUCAUGCCCCUUAUGACCUGGGCUACACACGUGCUACAAUGGACAGAACAAAGGGCUGCGAGACCGCAAGGUUUAGCCAAUCCCACAAAUCUGUUCUCAGUUCGGAUCGCAGUCUGCAACUCGACUGCGUGAAGCUGGAAUCGCUAGUAAUCGCGGAUCAGCAUGCCGCGGUGAAUACGUCCCGGGCCUUGUACACACCGCCCGUCACACCACGAGA
Molecule: ribosomal RNA, 1410 nt
Filed under: Bacillus altitudinis
Lineage: Bacteria; Bacillati; Bacillota; Bacilli; Caryophanales; Bacillaceae
Description: bacterial SSU rRNA
Rfam family: Bacterial small subunit ribosomal RNA
Source: RNAcentral